GAUGAAGAACGCAGCGAAAUGCGAUAAGUAAUGUGAAUUCCAGAAUUCAGUGAAUCAUCGAAUCUUUGAACGCACAUUGCGCCCGCCAGUAUUCUGGCGGGCAUGCCUGUUCGAGCGUCAUUUCAACCAUCAAGCCCCAGGCUUGUGUUGGGGACCUGCGGCUGCCGCAGGCCCUGAAAACCAGUGGCGGGCUCGCUGUCACACCGGGCGUAGUAGAUUUUAUCUCGCUCAGGGCGUGCUGCGGGUUCCGGCCGUUAAAAAGCCUUUUUUACCCAAGGUUGACCUCGGAUCAGGUAGGAAGACCCGCUGAACUUAAGCAUAUCAAUAAGCGGAGGA
Molecule: unclassified non-coding RNA, 336 nt
Filed under: soil metagenome
Description: partial contains 5.8S ribosomal RNA, internal transcribed spacer 2, and large subunit ribosomal RNA
Rfam family: 5.8S ribosomal RNA (bases 1-120)
Source: RNAcentral